Molecule: ribosomal RNA, 535 nt
Filed under: Rhinella mirandaribeiroi
Lineage: Eukaryota; Metazoa; Chordata; Amphibia; Anura; Bufonidae
Description: partial large subunit ribosomal RNA
Rfam family: Bacterial large subunit ribosomal RNA
Source: RNAcentral
CCGCGGUAUCCUAACCGUGCGAAGGUAGCGUAAUCACUUGUUCUUUAAAUGUGGACUAGUAUGAACGGCACCACGAAGGUUAUACUGUCUCCUUUUUCUAAUCAGUGAAACUAAUCUCCCCGUGAAGAAGCGGGGAUAAUUCUAUAAGACGAGAAGACCCUAUGGAGCUUUAAACAACACAGCACUUACUAAAUAUCCUCUAAUGUUCCUGAAAUAUUAACUCUUUAAAGUAAGAUGACUGCAAGUUUUCGGUUGGGGUGACCACGGAGUAAAUCAUAACCUCCAUGUUGAAAGAACUUUUCUAAGCCAAGAAUAACCAAUCUAAGCAUUAACAAAUUAACAUCUAUUGACCCAAUAAAUUUGAUCAACGAACCAAGUUACCCUAGGGAUAACAGCGCAAUCCACUUCAAGAGCUCCUAUCGACAAGUGGGUUUACGACCUCGAUGUUGGAUCAGGGUAUCCCAGUGGUGCAGCCGCUACUAAAGGUUCGUUUGUUCAACGAUUAAAACCCUACGUGAUCUGAGUUCAGACCGGA